GUGGCCGAAUGGUUACGCUGUCCGCUUUGUAAGUGGAUGAUUAUGGGUUCGAUUCCCAUC
RNAcentral lists this transfer RNA (60 nucleotides) under Culex quinquefasciatus (southern house mosquito). It matches the Rfam family "tRNA", at positions 7 to 64 of the family's 71-position model. From Rfam's summary of the family: Transfer RNA (tRNA) molecules are approximately 80 nucleotides in length. Their secondary structure includes four short double-helical elements and three loops (D, anti-codon, and T loops). Lineage: Eukaryota; Metazoa; Arthropoda; Insecta; Diptera; Culicidae. The record is from Rfam by way of RNAcentral.